Molecule: long non-coding RNA, 876 nt
Organism: Sardina pilchardus (European sardine)
Lineage: Eukaryota; Metazoa; Chordata; Actinopteri; Clupeiformes; Clupeidae
Exons: 2
Source: RefSeq, a predicted model, not a curated record
UGUGUGUGUGUGUGUGUGUGUGUGUGUGUGUGUGUGUGUGUGUGUGUGUGUGUGUGUGUGUGUGUGUGUGUGUCUCCUGGAUAGGGGCCAGACAGGACUGGAUAGUGGAACUCUAUCAGCGUCUUCAUUCAGACGCCAUCGGCCAAUUAGUCACUUCCUCUGACCCCGUAAACACAUGUCCACCCCGCGUGGCUCCACACACGCACACACACACACACACACACACACACACACACACACACACACACACACACACACACACACACACAGUACACACACACACACACAGAGUACACACACACAUGAUAUGGAUACACAAAUUACACCCAUGCACUGAGCACACACUAUAGCUCAUCGUCGCAUGGUGAUGACCUCAUCAGUGGCGGCCUGUAACUGUGACCGGAGUCAUACUGGGUGUUUGAGCAAACAGUGGACUGGUGGAACAUUUGCAUGGGACACGUUUGGAUAGUUUGGCAGAUUUGAAUGGAAAGUGUGUUGUUUGGAUAGUCACCGCACUGGGCAUUUGAAUGGGAAGUGUCUUGCGGUCAGUCUGUCACUAGCAUCACGAGCCUCACAGCCGCUGUCUGGAGCCAGGCCGAGACAAGGCCGAUAGUCCCUGGAUUAUCCUCCUUCGGGCCCACAGUGCAGCCUCAGUGUUGGCCUCAGGGCCAGAGCUAAUGAAGGAGUUAAAGCACAAGCGCCAGACUGGACUCCUGAUAUCAGGAGAGGAUAAGUAGCAGGAGCCGGGUUUUUUCCCCCUCGGUGAACAUUAACAGUUAUGCAAACAAGCAAAUAAAACACAUUCAUCAAGUAGACUCCUGUGUUCCUUUUACACUGUGCUAUUUUAGAAGUCAAUAAAGCACUUUCACAAAGUAA